GAAGAGCCUGCAGAGCAAGCUGCUGUUAUGUAAGCUGUUGGAACAGUUGUUGGACUAUGCAUGUCCACAGAAAAUCUCUGUGCCCAUGUCGCUCAGCCUGCUGCUGCACUUUCUGAAGAACUGCACUCUGGCACCAGACCCAACGGAUGGGACUGAAAGGUGGCAGAGGUGGGAGGAGUUGAUCCACCUCCUCUGGAUGUUGCUGCUCAGCUAUAAUAACGCGAUGAAAGGCUACCUGAACAGUUCGUCCAUCGAACAACGAGGCAAAGCCGGAACUUUAGU
This is a long non-coding RNA of Nematolebias whitei (Rio pearlfish), 282 nucleotides long. RefSeq lists it as uncharacterized. The transcript has 3 exons. Lineage: Eukaryota; Metazoa; Chordata; Actinopteri; Cyprinodontiformes; Rivulidae. The record is from RefSeq and is a predicted model, not a curated record.